RNAcentral lists this transfer RNA (78 nucleotides) under Reyranella sp. RNAcentral's name for it is "tRNA-Arg". It matches the Rfam family "tRNA", at positions 12 to 71 of the family's 71-position model. Rfam says of the family: Transfer RNA (tRNA) molecules are approximately 80 nucleotides in length. Their secondary structure includes four short double-helical elements and three loops (D, anti-codon, and T loops). The record is from RNAcentral. Lineage: Bacteria; Pseudomonadati; Pseudomonadota; Alphaproteobacteria; Hyphomicrobiales; Reyranellaceae.
GGAGUGGUUAAAGGAGAGAACUGGCAUACUGCCCUCCGAAGGCAGAGGUCGUGAGUUCGAAUCUCGCCGGGUCCGCCA